Molecule: unclassified non-coding RNA, 334 nt
Filed under: uncultured Glomeraceae
Lineage: Eukaryota; Fungi; Glomeromycota; Glomeromycetes; Glomerales; Glomeraceae
Description: SSU rRNA
Rfam family: Eukaryotic small subunit ribosomal RNA
Source: RNAcentral
UUGGAGGGCAAGUCUGGUGCCAGCAGCCGCGGUAAUUCCAGCUCCAAUAGCGUAUAUUAAAGUUGUUGCAGUUAAAAAGCUCGUAGUUGAAUUUCGGGAUCAAUAUAUUGGUCGUGCCUCCGGUAUGCACUGGUAUUAUUGAUUUCUACCUUCUGACGAACUGUGAUGUCAUUAAUUUGGUGUCAUGGGGAAUCAGGACUGUUACUUUGAAAAAAUUAGAGUGUUUAAAGCAGGCACACGCUUGAAUACAUUAGCAUGGAAUAAUGAAAUAGGACGUUUGACCCUAUUUUGUUGGUUUCUAGGAUCGACGUAAUGAUUAAUAGGGAUAGUUGGG